GUGCCAGCCGCCGUGGUAUUGGAUUUGCUUCAUGCUAUCACCUUCAUUCUAGGGGAGGGGAGGAAGGGGACGUGCAGAGCUUUGCUGAUUUUGUGCUGCCAUCAAAAAUGGGUUUUUCGAUUCCACUAAGAGAGUUGGGGUAAGACAUGCUCUGACCUGCUGCUGCCUUUGUUUAGAGGGCCAUGAAUUGACUGAGACUGCUGAAUGCACAAGGUGCCUUUGAAAAGAAACCCAAUUUAGCAACAUAAUUUCAAAAUGAAAGCACAUUUCAAGGCCCACAAUGAAGAGACAAAAUGUUCAAGCCCAGAGCUUUACAACAACCCUGGAAAGCAGACAAGGUCACUGUCUCUACUUUACCAAUGAAGAGGCAAAGAAAAUGCCAGAAGCCACGGAG
Lontra canadensis (Northern American river otter) is the source of this 394-nucleotide long non-coding RNA. RefSeq lists it as uncharacterized. The transcript has 3 exons. The record is from RefSeq and is a predicted model, not a curated record. NCBI's taxonomy places the organism in Eukaryota, Metazoa, Chordata, Mammalia, Carnivora, Mustelidae.